Molecule: ribosomal RNA, 815 nt
Filed under: uncultured bacterium
Lineage: Bacteria
Description: bacterial SSU rRNA
Rfam family: Bacterial small subunit ribosomal RNA
Source: RNAcentral
AGAGUUUGAUCAUGGCUCAGAACGAACGCUGGCGGCGUGGAUAAGACAUGCAAGUCGAGCGAUCGUUAACGGGUAGCAAUAUUCGUUAGCGGGAGCGGCGCAAGGGUGCGUAACACGUGGGUAAUCUGCCGUGAAGUUUGGGAUAAUCCCGCGAAAGCGGGACUAAUACCGGAUGUGACCAUUGGGAGGCAUCUUCUGAUGGUUAAAGUUGGGGACCGCAAGGCCUGACGCUUCAUGAUGAACCCGCGGCCUAUCAGCUAGUUGGUGAGGUAACGGCUCACCAAGGCUAAGACGGGUAGCUGGUCUGAGAGGACGACCAGCCACACUGGAACUGAGACACGGUCCAGACACCUACGGGUGGCAGCAGUCGAGAAUUUUUCACAAUGGGCGCAAGCCUGAUGGAGCGACGCCGCGUGGGGGAUGAAUGGCUUCGGCCCGUAAACCCCUGUCAUUUGCGAUCAAACCUUAUUAUUUAAAAGAUGAUAAGUUGAUAGUAGCGAAAGAGGAAGGGACGGCUAACUCUGUGCCAGCAGCCGCGGUAAUACAGAGGUCCCAAGCGUUGUUCGGAUUCACUGGGCGUAAAGGGUGCGUAGGUGGUGGGGUAAGUCGGAUGUGAAAGCUCGGAGCUCAACUCCGAAAUGGCAUUGGAAACUACCCUGCUAGAGGAUUGGAGGGGGGACUGGAAUACUUGGUGUAGCAGUGAAAUGCGUAGAUAUCAAGUGGAACACCAGUGGCGAAGGCGAGUCCCUGGACAAUACCUGACACUGAGGCACGAAAGCUAGGGGAGCAAACAGGAUUAGAUACCCUAGUAGUCC